UGCUGCAGCUCCAGAUCCAGCUCUUCUUUGGAUGCUUUCUGGCUCCUUGUGGCCAACAUCUGGCCUGUCAGCCACCUGCUGGGGCAAAGCUUGCUCUCAUUCAGAAGAUUUCUGCUUGAUAACCAGCAUUCUUCUUCUUCCCCAGCUGAAUUACCUGCUUAUCUGCAGAGUUCCCGUAUUUCCAAGCACUCGCGGUGCAGUUUCACAGGCGGUUUUUCAGGUGUAAUGCGGCAGUCAAUAACCUCCUAACAGGACAGCAAACGGCUCCUGAGAAAAGUUCCCCGCACCAGAGAUGAAAUAUACUUUUUUGACAGAUCAUUGCCACUCAGGUGCACGAAACAGCAGUCAAAGCAAACUCCUAUUUAAAAGCCAACCGAACGCUGAUGAAUAAUAUCCCUGGCUGCUCAUUGCCUUCUCCUCUGAGCCCUCACUCGGAGCACUUUUCAACCAGAAGUCAAAGCAUUUCUAAUUUUUAACCAUGUUUGUUUCAAAUCAUUGUUGAUACUCAUUUUAAUUUAAUUAAGGUGUUGGUUUUUUUCCUUUUUAACAAAUACAGCUCCUCGGUCCCAAAGGGCACGGCACUGUGUGCAGACAUCUGCAGGUAAUCGGAACGGAAAUUCCUCUCCAUUCUGCUCAUUUUCAAGCCUUUCAAAGAUCAAAGGAUUAUUUUUAACCCAGAGCUUUGUCAUUAUUAAAGUGGCAUUAAUAGCUAAAGAUGGCUGUUUCCAAACGGUUGGGUUUAUAUCAUGGCUCCGUAAUAUCCUCACUGGAGGCAGCAGAUGACUCAGAGAGCAGAUGACUCUGAGUGAAACCUCAGAUUUAUCCAGAUACAGUAUCUGGAUGGACAGUACAAAGCGAUCUGCUGCUGAGGGAGGUGCCAAUACCCAUGAAAUGGCAUUGCCCGUUCUGCCAGAACUUACAGUGAUGAGCCCCUGAGCACAACGAGGGAGGAAUUACAGCACUCUUUAAACAAAUUCCCAUCCCAAGUUUUGCUUGUAACUGAGCAGCCAGCCACCCUGACCCCAAAGGCAAUGAGCUUGCCACCUCCUUUGCUUAUUUGUUUGUUUGAAUGGACUCAAAAAUGUUUUUUAAAUGAAACAGCAUCUGUAACCACAGCUCUGUUCUGCUGGUACCAGCCCCCAGAGCAGAUCUGAAUAAUGCCAUGUCCUCCCCUCAGCCACAAAAACAAUCUCUUAUCAACAUAGCCGUGUCCACACGCCAGCCCCUCCUGCAGCAGCUACUGCAUCAGCUAUUCACAUCACAUCCUGACGCUCCUUGUGCGGAAACGUGUAACAUUGACCUAGUUUUUCCUGAGGACCUUCAUCACCAUACGCUUUGGAUGGUGCUUUAGAGCUGUGUUUUGGGACCCGAGUCUACACCAGGUAGAAAACAGUCAUCUUGGACUAAGGAGGGCUCUGAGCUCCUCUGUGCCCAGAAUCAGCACUCAGGACAACAGGAGCAGGACAGGGGGUGGGUGUGUUGUGUUAACCAUCUUGUGACUGCAUUUCUCAUCACUCGACCUACUCCUUUUUCGAGUGUCCUUUUCCUAUCUCCCUAUUUUUUUUUCUUUUUUUCACAGUUAGAGAUUUUCUUCUUUGUUCUCACAGUUCUCAGAAACCCAGGAUUAUUGUACUACCUUUAUUUUUUUCUAAUAAAAAAUAAAGGGGGGGGGGGGGGGGAAACAGCAGAAAUUGGAAGCUGCCUUGCCCUUUUUGGCUGAGAUCAGUUGCUGUAUGAUGGCAGUGAGAAGACCUGUUUAGGACAUACUGGGAAUUAAAAAAGCCAGCUUCCCACUAGGCCUUAGGAUCCCAUUUCUGUGAUAUAUCAGGGUUUUGUCUGCCCUGACACAUAUCAUCUAUCCCUAUUGUCUCCGUAUUAUGUCGCUGUUUAUCAUCCAUUCACAUAUUUAUUUCCCCUUUCAAACAUCAUCUAGGAACUGGGAUAGAGUUCUGAUAGGGAAUUUGCUGCUACGUGUGACUGCAUAGAUUGUCUCAAGGUAGUGAUCAAGGAUAUCAAUCUGGUAUUUUAAUCUGGGUACAGUCAUCCCAUCUCUUAUUUUCAUCCAGGAGAAUUCUCUUAUUUUUUAUUUUUAUUUCCUCCACUCAAAAGCUGCAGUUUUGCAGAAAGCAUUUUUUUUUCCCCUUUUAACUGAAUAUUUAUUAAAUCUUAUGUCAGCUCUUUUCAAAAAUCAUGGGCUGAGAUAAGAGCAAAUAACAGCAUCUCUUUUCCAGCCGCUUCUUUUUCAUGGUUCUGUGCACUAUGUACAUCCUGCAAGAUGAUGAAGAAAAUAAACAGAUGUAUCAGCUCCCUGCAAGCUGACUAUCGACCAGGCAAAAGAAAAAUGAAACCUUCUGCUAAGAUUUAUUUGGAAUAUACUCACAGAUUUCAGGAAAAUAAGUAUAUAGAAAGUUACGUCCAUCCCCAUUGACUCUAUGUGUUUACAUGAAGGAUGCAAAGCUUUCCUAUAGAAGCAAUGAUGCCAUGCAUUUAUUAAACCCAGUGUCCCACUAAGGCUUACGUGUGAGCCAUUCAAGAAGGCAACAGUGACGUCCUCUAUCUUGUCUCACAGCAAAAAAAA
This is a long non-coding RNA of Oxyura jamaicensis (ruddy duck), 2578 nucleotides long. RefSeq lists it as uncharacterized. NCBI's taxonomy places the organism in Eukaryota, Metazoa, Chordata, Aves, Anseriformes, Anatidae. The record is from RefSeq and is a predicted model, not a curated record. The transcript has 3 exons.